AAUAAAAUUAAACAGUUCCAGUCUUAAAUAUCUUUCUCAUUUUCUUCGUAGGACGACCACGACCUAAUGCAUUAAUGGAAGUACAAAUGCCAGUGAUUAAGAACGCCGAAUGCAAAAUAGCUUAUUCCAAAUUUCCUAAUGCACCUGAUAUCACUGAUGGUAUAAUAUGCGCCGAACAUGCUCAGGGUGGAGAGGAUUCUUGUACGGUAUUGUGUCUUAUGCUUAUAAGUGUGGCACAGCUGGGUAUCCCAGCGUUUACACUAGGGUCACAUCGUACCUUGACUUCAUUCUCCAAGCGAUGCAAUAAUAUGAUAUUACUGUUCCAUAAAUAUCAUUGUGUAAAAAACGUAAAGUUGGAUUUUCUUAUUGUGGAGAUAAGAAACAGCUCAAAUUUACAUUGUUUUGUACGUUACAAAUUAUAGGCUUAAAAUGUACGAAAUGUAACUUUGAAACGACACUAAUUUUUUACGCACGAUAAACCUCCACGACUUAGGUAUGUAAAGAUGAUAAACGUAUAUUAAUUCUAUUAAUUUGGUAAUAAUAAACCAACUUUCUGAGAAGUUCUGUAAAUUUCGUUUCUGUUGUAUCAAGAGAAUAAUGGAAUAUUCCACUUA
Bombus huntii is the source of this 614-nucleotide long non-coding RNA. RefSeq lists it as uncharacterized. The record is from RefSeq and is a predicted model, not a curated record. NCBI's taxonomy places the organism in Eukaryota, Metazoa, Arthropoda, Insecta, Hymenoptera, Apidae. The transcript has 2 exons.